CGUCACGUCGUAGGAGCGCUGGCGGAGACUUCAGGCUAUGAUGGUUGGUAAGAGUACAUCCUGCUCAGAACCUACAUUAGAAAAGCCUUGGGUAAGUAAAUUUAUUUUCUGAACUCAUUUGUUUCUUACUCUUGUAUUUCUUAAGAAGUACAAACUACCCUGAACUUGAGUUGGCUUCUGCAGCUUCAAUCUCAACCCAACACUUGAAUGCUCUGUCCAUACUCAGCAUUAAUUUAGUACCAGUGCCUGUACAGGAACUCUGGAUCAGGAUCAGGGCUCCACAAUGACACACCCAUCUACCUCACAUUCCUUUCCAGAUGACAUGUCCAUUCAAGGCAAGGCUCUGCUAAUCUCUUUCAUUGGUGACAUCUCUUCUAGGUCAAUUAGACCACUUCUAUAAGAGAGUGUGGCAUCUCCUGAGUGUGUGCACAUCUCUUCUAAAUUUAAACAGUAUUUAUUACAGCUAGAGCUGCCCUUCA
This is a long non-coding RNA of Dryobates pubescens (Downy woodpecker), 479 nucleotides long. RefSeq lists it as uncharacterized. NCBI's taxonomy places the organism in Eukaryota, Metazoa, Chordata, Aves, Piciformes, Picidae. The record is from RefSeq and is a predicted model, not a curated record. The transcript is spliced from 3 exons.